This 231-nucleotide ribosomal RNA is filed under the name uncultured bacterium. RNAcentral describes it as "partial 16S ribosomal RNA". It matches the Rfam family "Bacterial small subunit ribosomal RNA", at positions 103 to 334 of the family's 1533-position model. The record is from RNAcentral.
CGGGUGAGUAACGCGUGGAUAACCUGCCUCACACUGGGGGAUAACAGUUAGAAAUGACUGCUAAUACCGCAUGAGCGCACAGUACCGCAUGGUACGGUGUGAAAAACUCCGGUGGUGUGAGAUGGAUCCGCGUCUGAUUAGCCAGUUGGCGGGGUAACGGCCCACCAAAGCGACGAUCAGUAGCCGACCUGAGAGGGUGACCGACCACAUUGGGACUGAGACACGGCCCAA